AGGCGACGACGGGUAGCCGGCCUGAGAGGGUGACCGGCCACACUGGGACUGAGACACGGCCCAGACUCCUACGGGAGGCAGCAGUGGGGAAUAUUGCACAAUGGGCGCAAGCCUGAUGCAGCGACGCCGCGUGAGGGAUGACGGCCUUCGGGUUGUAAACCUCUUUCAGCAGGGAAGAAGCCACAAGUGACGGUACCUGCAGAAGAAGCGCCGGCUAACUACGUGCCAGCAGCCGCGGUAAUACGUAGGGCGCAAGCGUUGUCCGGAAUUAUUGGGCGUAAAGAGCUCGUAGGCGGUUUGUCGCGUCUGCUGUGAAAGCCCGGGGCUCAACCCCGGGUCUGCAGUGGGUACGGGCAGACUAGAGUGCAGUAGGGGAGACUGGAAUUCCUGGUGUAGCGGUGAAAUGCGCAGAUAUCAGGAGGAACACCGAUGGCGAAGGCAGGUCUCUGGGCUGUUACUGACGCUGAGGAGCGAAAGCAUGGGGAGCGAACAGGAUUAGAUACCCUGGUAGUCCAUGCCGUAAACGUUGGGCACUAGGUGUGGGGGACAUUCCACGUUCUCCGCGCCGUAGCUAACGCAUUAAGUGCCCCGCCUGGGGGAGUACGGA
This 607-nucleotide ribosomal RNA is filed under the name Kocuria sp. CMT56. RNAcentral describes it as "bacterial SSU rRNA". It matches the Rfam family "Bacterial small subunit ribosomal RNA", at positions 271 to 886 of the family's 1533-position model. The record is from RNAcentral. Lineage: Bacteria; Bacillati; Actinomycetota; Actinomycetes; Micrococcales; Micrococcaceae.